ACUGUAAAGAAGGAAAUAAACUGUUAGAAGAGGGAAAACUGAUGGUUUCUUUUGUGUAGGCCACAGAUGCAUGAUGAAUUGUCACCUCCACCUCCUUCCGCCUCAGAUGUUUGAUGAUGACUUAUCUGAGAGCUUUGAAGGAGAGAGCAUCAGAAAAGACACCUUGCAUUCUCUUAUUAGUCUCUAAAUGCUUUAUGCCCAGGUUCUAAGGGCCUGGAAGAGUAAGCUUGAUUCUGGCACCAACAUCAAAGAACAGGAGCUUGCUUUGGAAGUCUCUUAAAUGGAGCAUUUAUUUCUAAGCUGGUUCUUACAAGAGCUUCCCAACUAGCUGGGGACAGGGCAAAGGUAGUCUCAGCUUCUUGGUAUUUCAGAGUCUGUUUCUGGAAUGAGAGGACUGGAUUAGAUCGUUAUUUCCCAGAAGGUGGGUUUCAUACCACUUGGGACAGCUCAAGUCUUAAAAAAACAAAUCACAAAAUAAUCACUUUCCCUUUUAAAUUCUCUUUGAUCCUUCUGAUUAUGUCAAAUUUCCAUUUGGGAUUGGGGUGUCUUUAACACCUCCCCAUCACUUGCUAAUUUCCCUGUGUAAAUAAGUGUAGGCCUCAGCAUUCAUUUUUUAAAGUUAGUGUCUGUUUAUGGGAGGUGAUAGUGAUUUUCCAUUUAAAGCAGUGAUAGAGUUUAUUUUUAGAAUAAGUUUAUGUAAGUAAAAAACAACUAAUUAAGAAAAUAUUAAGUACAUAAUAGCUUAGGUGAUAUGUACAUAUGGCAAAAUGUAAUGGCAAUACAGAGAGUUUGGAAACAGUGAACAAGGCAUGUUUCUGAGGGGUUUUCUAGGAUCAGAACUCUACAAUAAGUUCCCAAGUUUGACACAGUCACUUGCAAACUAAACUUGAAAUUUGGACAUUGAGCAUAGGACCCAAAUUUUAGAUGUUAAGACUAAGUAGAUAAAAAUUGGCUUUAAUGUGUUAUAGGAAAUGAAUCUGUGCUACAUGUUAGCCAGCUUAAAAAAUAAAGCUAGAUUUCUGUCCUCAGAACAUAAAUCUUGUUUCUUUUCAAAGCUUCAAAGAACAUUCCAAAGUUCCAGCUAAAAUUAUUCGACCCAUCCUGUUCCUUUUCCCCUUCACUCUGGUGGUAAGGAUUGGGCGAGAUUACACUUUAAUUGGGGUUAGCCCUAGAAUGUAAAAGGAACUUGGAUUUGGAAGUCAGACUGAACUGAGUUCAAAUCCCCACUUGGCCACCUUUGAGCUGAGAGAUCUUGGACUUGUGUCUCAUUCUCUAAGCCUUAGUUUCCUCAUCUGAAAAAUGGGAAUUUGCAAGGGAAUUGGGAAGAUCAAAUGGGCAUUCAAAGGGCUUCCACCGAGCAAGUGCUUAAUAGGUCACUAUCAGCAGCAGCAUCUGUAAGGAACGUAGAUCAGUUGAGUAGAAGCUGUUGGUGGUUAUACCUAUCAAGAUGUCUGCUCGGAGGUAGUUCCUUCCUUUGUAAGAAUUAAAGGGAUCAGAGUUAGCAUUGGGCAUUAUUUUUUAACAAAAUAUGUUCCAGGCAUACUGGCAAGCUUCACAUUCAUUCCUGCCAGGUAGAACAACAAAAAAAUCUAGUGUGGCUUUCUGGUUGUUCCCAGAAUGACUUUGAAAUGGGGUAGUGUGUGAGAGAGGCGCCCUGUCCAGGGGAGUAGGGAGCAGGUUGUCCCGAGGCCAGCUCCCACCUGAUAUGCAUCAUCUGGGAAUCCUAGCCAAACUCCAACCACAGACACAAACCUGAGGCAAGCAGAUGAGGGUGGAUUAGGUUGCUUUGAGCUCUGCAUGCCCUACUCAUUUGUAGGGUGCUUUAAUUAUAAAUGGAUCCUUUGUUGAAAAUGUAAGGAAACUCCAUAGUGUGUGAUGGAUACUAGCUGCUAAAGAGCUAUACAACUAAAAAAUGACCCCUAAUGCUCUUUAAUUGUCCAUAAAUGUUAAUUGAGACCUGGCUCUGUAUAUCAUUUCCCCCCUGGUUUUUUUUUUAAAAAACAAAAGGUGUGCUUUCUGUCCUCAAGGAACUUCUACUUCAGUUUGAUCAAGCCAUUAACAACGAGACCAUACAGGUAGCGACUGUCAACCAGGGGGAGGGGGAGAAGCAGGCAAUUUCAUUGGGGAGUUUGGCAGACUAUGGAGGGGGAAUAUUGAGAAGUGGUGAUCCUAUGAGGUCCCCGAUGCUGGAUGCCUGCCACCCACCAGUCCUCAAGUGUGCCCUUAGCAGAGGGCAGCAUCUUCUGGGGGCACAUGAGCAGGGCACCUUUGAACUGGGGCUAAGAUUCUGAGGGAAGAGUCAGUAGGAGCUGCUGAUCCCAGAGUGAUGACAGGGCUUGAAUUCUGAAAGAACAUUUUCUCCUAUUCCACUGCCUGCGUCAGUGUUGACUUCCCUGCUGUUUCUACAGCCUAUUUGCUUCAGGGUUCCCGCCUGGUUUAGGAAACUAACAGUGCUGUGGUUAAUUAAGAACCCAGGCCUUGUGAGUGAGUAGCCUUGGGCUCAAUUCAGGCCGUGAGACUUCAAGCAAAGCCCUUAACCCCUCUGAGUCUCAGUUGCCUACACUGUGAAAUGGGUAUAUUAAUAGCACUAACUUAAGAGAAAGAAGUCAAGGAAAUGAUGCACAGAAAGCACUUUGGCGCAGCCUAGCACAAAGUCCUCCUGUAUAUUGCUGAUAUGUUGUUAUUAUCAGAGGAAGCUGUAUAUCCUGGGAAGCCAGUGUGGAGGUGGUGGGGAAAGUAUUCAAGGCAGGUAGAUUUGAAUUCAGAUUUCACCACUGCCAGUUAAUUACUGGGAAUGACUUGGAGGCAGCUGUUUCACUUCUCUGAACACCUGCUUCCUCUUCUGUGAAAUAGGAUAACGGGGUUGCCGUAUAGCAUAGAUGAGAGUGUGUGACUUCAUGGCUCCUGGUGCCUCUUCCUUCCCUCUCCUAGGCUUCCCUCACUGUUUACAUAGUGCUUCCAAGUCACGAGUCACACCUGCAUCAGGUGUAGGAUGACUGAUCUGUUUCUAGAAAAUUGCUAGAGUCUAUGAGUAGGCAAGUGCCUUGGCAGGUCGUAAUUUAUUUAAUCACAAUUGAUUGAAGCUUUGCAAGAUCAAGUCGCCCUCUGCACAAUCCUGCUUUCCAAACUCAGGGGCACCCUUCGCUUGACUCUUAAAUGUUGGGACAGAGGGAAGGAGGGCUUGGCAUGUAAAAGCGCCUUCCACUCCAGGCCCUUCCCAACCUGGCAGUGCUUGGUAAACCUUUACCAAGGAAAUUAUUUUGUCAGGUUAGACUCCCAGCAGUCUUCAAAGGAACCCUCCCUUCCGUAGAUGACCCAUAUUGGAAAACUGAACUUUGCUGCUCUCUGCUGCACGUGUCCUUUACCUCAGGAAUAAAUACCAUUUUUAUUUUGCCACCAAAAUGUCUUUUAUGGAAACUUUUAUUGACAUCCCUUACCACUGACUCUACAAUGGCUAGCCAACUUUUUUUUAUUUUUUUAAACCCAAGAACCAAAUCACAGGUUUGUAUUUACUUCUUUCAUUUUAAGUCAGUUGCCACUGUCUACCUAUUUUCUUCAUUAUCUCUUUAGAAUUGUAACUAGCUGAGAGUGAUGCUGGGGACAGAGCUGAGUCUCUGAGCUCCUUACCUCCUUUGUUGUAUGCUACAUCCUUUUUUUAUAUUCACAGGCUUCUGCAUUUUAAUAAACUGUAGAUAAUGAUACAUCCGGUUGCAUAUUAAUUGCUGGAAGUUCAAAAUAACACGUAAUCACUAUGUUUCAAGAUUGCAAAUGUACAGCACUGAGAGCCAGUGUUCCUUAUAAACUUUUGGAAAAAUCCAUUUGUUACUGGGUAUUUUUUAAUUCUUGUCAUUAAAAUGCACUGCAGAAUGGAAAAUGUCUCAACAAAUGAAAUCAGUUUUGUGUUCUGCACUCAUGCACAUGCACAUACACCCCUUCCAAAGAAUAACAUUUUGAAGCUAUUCAUUUGCUCAUUUGGGGUGUGUGGGGGCAACAGAAAUGCCAAAUGAAUCCAUUAUAGAUUACUUACCUCACAGCUUCCUGAACAGCAUGCUUUGUAUCUUAUUUUUCUGCAUACCAUUGCUCAGUGGGCGGUAAGAUGUCAGCUGAAAGCCAAAAGCAGAAAAGCUUAAAAUUUUUAAAAAUUUAUUUCCAGUUUAAUCAAUCCCAUGUGAUUGUUUGACUAGUAGCUUUUUCCAUUUUGAAUAAUCAGAUUUCAGUGUAUUCUGUUCUCGGCUGGGAGCAGAGUGUUCUAAAACACCCCUGUGCUGCAUUCCCUGGUUCUAAGUGUGGGCAUGUGCUCCUGAGGACACACAUGGACCAAACAUUUGAAGGGAUAAUUUGUGCUAGAAGGGACAGCCAGGAGUUACCAGGGAGCACCUCAAAUGUAUUUUGUGUUUCUCUCUGGAGGUCACAUCUCUGCAAGGCCUGUCUGCUCGAAAUUGUUGUUCUUGUCAAAAAUAGAAACCAACUAGACCUCAAGAGAAGGAGAUCCAUUUUCUUCUGCAGACCCAGUGCCCUUGGUCAGAUGUCCCUGUAGGUUUUACCCAGUAACCAAUUGGGAUCCCUAGCCUCUGUCUAGUUUUCAGUCAGAUGACAGACCUGACUGUCAGCUUUGCUUGUCUGAGAUGUGUUCGAUCAUCCCAGAUUCGACUAGAACAGUCUGUCCUUCCUUAGGGACAUUGAGAUUAAGAUCUGUGCAUCCUUUUUCAUCUCUGUACUUUUAUUUCCUUUUCUGAGAAGUUAAGAUGAUGUUGAGCUUCAAAGAAUGACAGAUGGAUGAGAGAGGGAGGGGACUUCUCUGUAGUUCUGUGUGGUCCUUUCUUGGUAACGGAUUUUUUUGUGAAUUUUCACCUUGCACAUCCGACAUGAGUUGAAUGCCCAGAGUUUCUCUCAUUGCCUAGUCCCAGACAGUACUGGGAUCUGGCAAGACUGGAGACUAGCUCUUCUAGCCCAUAAUUCAGCAGUAUCAGAGGCAGUGGGUGGGUGGGAGAAUGCAAACCCAUCUAUAAGGACCCAAGAUAAGGACUUGGGUUCUUAUCUUGAGAUUUUACUGCUUUCCUCUCUUCCAAUAUAGCCUUGAAUCCUGCCAAACCACCCCCGCUUUUGCUCUAUCCAGCCAGAGCUUGACUAAACAUAUGAUAAAACCACAGGAAGAAAGGGAAGGCAGGAAUGUGGAAUCAAAAUACAUGGUCUCUUAGCAGCCUCAGUGGCUAGAGCAGUUACUGGUAUGAUUCUGGCAGGUGGCAUGGAAAUCUAGCUUUGUCCCUGGAAGGAUCAAGGCAAAAUCCAGUGUUGCAGGGAAUAGAAAAGGGCAGGGGUACAGGCUGGCAGACAGACCACACCUCUCCCAGGACGUCAGAAAUAAGGGCAAUAAUCUGUUAUUUUGGAUUACUGAGGACUUUGUAACGGGUGAGUACCUACCAAGCAUAUUAUACACACAGUCCCAUCUGAUCCUCCCAACAACUAUAUGAGGCAGUAUAGGAGAGUAAUCUUCACUUUUCAGCAGAGGAAACCAAGCUUAUAGAGGUUACAUUUUGGGCCCAAGGUCACAGGAUAUUGCACUCUGACCAGACAGGUUGGCUCAUAUUUUAUCCUUAGAUCCUUUGCAAAGAAUUGAUGCAUUCUUUGGGCCAGAGUGAUACGAACUUUGUCACUUACUGCAGAGGCAUUCAGCUUAUUCCUAAACUCUGAGAGGGCCCAGAAAAUGUCCUUAAAGAAGGAGGAAUGGAACUUCCCAGUGGCAUCUUUUUCCCUCUUCCCCUCCAACCCCACCCAAGAGGAAGCCAGGGAAUCCCUUUUACAGAGAUAACCACAUGCAGAACAUAUAUUCCACCCAGAGGUUUCCAAGAAGUCAGCAGGAAAUGACUGGCUCCAAACGCCAAAGCCACAGAGACCUUCCUCUGGACCCCCUGGCUGUGACCAGGAGACCUUUUCUACCUCUGGGUGCCUUGUUGGCAUCAUCCAGCCAGGGAUGUCCAGCCCCAUUUUCCAGACUGGGGGAUGGAUGUUGCAUUGUAGGCACGUUAUUUCUGUGGCAUUCUUGCCAAAAAUGCAUAACCUGAUGUGAGAAAACAUCUCUGGGCCCGUAGCUGGCCUUCCCGUAAGGGCCGCAGAGAAGUGAUGCUGCUGGCGAGCCUCCUAAUUUUUAAGGAGACUGAACUCUUUAAAGUGCUCCAGCUCUGAGCAUCUGGCCCUUUCUGCCUCAGAAGGCAGAUGUGGAGCCAGGGACCGCAGAGAGAGCUAAAUAUUUGGCUUCCUCUUUCUCUGAAGGUCUAUAGCAUCAUGUCUGGGCAUGACCGAGAUGAGUUUCAGGCAAUGGGGGCUGGUGUUUGCUAAAAGGAACUUAACCGGGGUGUGGGUGUGCAUUUCUCCCUCUGCCCAAGGUUAAGUAAUAGUAACAUCCUGUGUAAAGAGAACUUGAAUGUGGUUUUCUGCUAAACUUCAGUAUUUUGGGGCUAUUUAUUAGAUGUGUUUAAUCUUGGGCCAAUUUAACCAGUAGCAGACUAAUAAAACAACAAAUUUGGGCUUGCUGCCAGGACAAAUGUUGACUUACCCUUAUAAUGUUGACUAAAAUGAAUGACUUUGAAAGUUAUUGCAGAGUGAAACCUUAGCCAAAAAUACAGUGUCUGAAACAAUGGUUUUGUUUUAUUUUACUGGCUCGGCUUAGAGCUUAUGUUUAUAACCUAGGCUGCUGCCUGCUUCACCUCUCAGAGUUCCAUAUUUUACUGAAUUAUUUCCCAAGGUUCUUUUUUUCAGCCCAUAAACCUUCACUUGGCAGAAAUGAAUUUCCCCAUGUAGGCAAGUAGGACUGGUUACUUUUCUCAAUGUGGGGGCAAAAACUCAGUGGUACCAAGAAGAAUAAAGGUAAUAACUUGCUUGAGUCUUCUCUCAGAAACAAAAAGGUAUGCCAUGAACACUCACCCUCUCCAAGUCUGUAGUAAAAUUAAUUGGUACUCCUGGGUAUACUGGAAGAAAUCCAUCUCGCUUGCCCCGUACCCCCACCUUUCCUUCAUUUUGCCAUUCAGUGUAUACAAACAUUAGAGAGCUAUAGUAUUUUGCUAGCAUGUGUGUUGGACUUGAAGGAAGCAGGGGAGGCCCGGAGGAAAUGAAGCUAGGAGGACCACAGAAAUUGUCAUAAAGGGUGAUUUCUUUCUACUCCUGUUUUUUAAAUUUGCAUUUUAUAGGAAGCUGGUUUGGGCAGGGCCUCUGAGCAUGGUUUCAGAGGCUCCUGCCAGUAUUGUGUGAGCUCAGCCAACUGCCAGCUGUCCUCCUUAUGCCUCUCCCUUAUUCAAGGCUCCCCCUGAAGGCAACCAUCUCACAGGCAGACUUUGGCCCAGAAGCCAUAGAUGCUGAAUCUGCCUUUGGUACUGACUGGCUCAGGCAGGCAGAGCUUGAUAUACAGAGAAUAAAUGUCAUCCCUCUAACAUUAAUAUGUUCAGCUUUAUGCACCUGAGAGUUGAUGGUUUAAUUCGUGGGUUUGCCCAGACUCUCCUGUGACUUCGCUCAUCAUCUGCUCUUUAGCACUUCCAUGAGAGGGGGCAGGAGAUUGUUGGAGUCUCAAUCCAGCAGCCGGAAAGCCUGUCUGCAGCUUGGGUUUGAGGCUGAACUAACUCAGGGUGUUUUGUGGACUUUAGUUAUCCAGGCUGUCCCUGUUCCCUCAUUAACAAAAACAAAACAACAAGCCAACAAACCUCAGCUUUUUUUUUUUUUUAAGAAGGAAAUUGGGAUCUUUUCCUCAUAGCACCUUACCUUAUAUGGAGGAAAGAUUUAAGCCAUUUUAU
This is a long non-coding RNA of Sapajus apella (tufted capuchin), 7781 nucleotides long. RefSeq lists it as uncharacterized. Lineage: Eukaryota; Metazoa; Chordata; Mammalia; Primates; Cebidae. The record is from RefSeq and is a predicted model, not a curated record. The transcript is spliced from 2 exons.